Felis catus (domestic cat) is the source of this 4536-nucleotide long non-coding RNA. RefSeq lists it as uncharacterized. The record is from RefSeq and is a predicted model, not a curated record. The transcript is spliced from 6 exons. NCBI's taxonomy places the organism in Eukaryota, Metazoa, Chordata, Mammalia, Carnivora, Felidae.
UCAGCCUGAAAAGGGAAGGAAACUGAUACAUGUUACAACAUUGAUGAACCUUGAGAACAUUGUGCUAAGUGAAAUAAGCCAGCCUCAAAAGACAAACCCAGUACGAUUCCGCUGAUCUGAGGUGUGAGGUUUUGAGCUGCUGCCGCCAUCACGAUUCCCGGGGGCAUGUCAGCGGGAGGAUGAAAUCGACUUCUAGAGAAAGGCAGAGCAAAAACAAUUAGAGAAAUGGAUGGUGUCCUCUGAGCCUCUGGAUUGAAGGACCUGCAGCCAGCUCUCUCCUCGGACUUUCAGUUGUGUCAGCCAUAAUUUUUUAAAAAGAUGAAGACUGUGUCACAAGUUUCCGGUACUCCCAACUGAAUUCCAAAUAAAAUUGACAACUGGCUCUUGGCAAAAGAUUUCCCAAAGACAUCUUCAUGCACGCUUGUCUAUUUAUUUAUUGGCCGUGGGAUUUGCCACCAUUGGGCGAGUGGGUCAGUGGAAGGUCUGCCUGUCCUGAGGCAGCUCUUGGCAUCUGACCCAUGGUCCUACAAUGUGAGUUGUGCAGUUGGCGCCCAGUAUGGAGCCUUUUGCUUUCUGUCCUUCACAAGCUGGGAUGAUAUAUCUUCUACGACAGGAUAAAGAAGCCAUCCUGAGUGUUGGAUACCCAGUCCCGGCGAGGUAGCAUCUUCCCGAGGACAGCAAUGGUGGCCAUGUCUCCCAAGACAGCACAAUCUUUCCCAGAGACAGGAAAACAUAAGAUGAAUCUCACCAAGGCCAAGGAGAGAAGAUCGCCCACUCCCUUACUGCUCCAGACCUAGAGGCACAAGGCUAGAGUGGCCAAGAAAGUUACCGUAUUGACAGGCUUCACGUUUCAGUUCUGGCUUGCCGCUGGUCAUCUAAACACUCUUUGGUACACUGAGGAACAGAACGGCCAUCAGCACCGAGGGAGAGAACAGAAGUGUGGUCGUUGGCUGAGUGGAACACACGAGACGGAACCUGGACUGCUCCACCCAACCCAUGGAAGCUUCCUUGGGGGAGAAGAAAAUUGCAGAGAAGGGGCUGUUUUCCUGUUUUCUCGGGACAUCCCCGAGGGUGGAGGUGAGGGACAUGACGUAGCAUAACAAAAAUGUUAUGUUUUCUUAAAUGUUUGUUUUAUGUUUUCUUAAAUGUUUGUUUUGAAAGCGAGAGAGCAUGCGUGGGGCAGGGGCAACGAGACAGAGAGAGAGAGAGGGAGACAGAGGAUUCAAAGUGGGCUCUGUGCUGACAGCAGAGAGCCCAAUGCGGGGCCUGAACUCACAAACCGUGAGAUUAUCACCUGGGCUGAAAUCAGGAGUUUGGACGCUGAACCAACUGAGCCACCCAGGCACCCUCUCCCUCUUUUGGUCCAUAAAUGUGGACUCCGUGAAUGUAACUGUCCUAUCGAAGAAGGCUGAAACUCUCUUUUUCCCUCUCCCAAACGGAAUGAAGAGCAGCUCUUUAAAUUUCUAACGCAUCCGUGAAAUAUGCUGUGGUGGAACGGACGGAGAUCUUAGAGCUGGAAGAUCCGGAUUUGAACCUGGGCUCUGUGAUCUUUCAUUUGGUGGUUUGUUGGUUUAAUUUAAGUUUUUGUUUCAACCCCAGCUGGUUAACAGACGGCGUUAGAUUGGUUUCAGGUGUACAAUAUGGUGACUCGACAGUAUUGAACUUGUACGGCCCACGUGCCAAAGAGAUGUGAGUUUCAGUGCUACCUCUGCCACUAAGCACGGUGUGAUGUGAGCAAACGCUUUCCUCUCACCUCUCCCUGCGAAGCGCUGUUUUUAACGUUGCCGUGUUUAAUGCAUUUAUUGUCAUUACCAUGCAACCCAGUCCUUAAUUCUAUCGUCGCAUCUGGGUUUGUCUUUUCUCUUGAGCUCAGCUAGAAGCCCCUGGAGAGACAGGCCCACGUUUUAGGACCACCCGUUCUGCAAGAUGCUGGGGGUGCACUUACGCUCAGCACAUAUAGAGUACCUGAGGAAGGGCCUGGUGACAAAGGAAAAGACCUUUGUUCCCCUCACACGUGACUACCUAUCAGUGACCUAAAAUGUCUAGUAACCACUUCUCGGGACUCCGGGACUGCACAGACCCUUGGGGUGUCCAUGAGCAUCACCGAGAAAACACAGAUUUGGGGCCCACCGCACCACUGCGAAACACGUCGCAAGACUUUCCCCCUCAGCCCGCCGGAUUGCUUUUUUAAUUGGUUGAAGUUGGUAGGCUUUAAAUCAUAACAAGAGGAUACAAGUUGGUUAUAACACAGCAAUUUAAAUGUAGGCACAACUGUGAUGUCUGAAUUACAAACGGUGUGCUUACGAUGCUGCAUUUUUCUGGAGCGUGGGAGCCCGGCCCAGGACCGCCUGGCCGGUGCUGAUAAAGAACCACGGCUAUACCCAGUUAGCGGGAAGAGAAGGGGGUCCCCAGGCCGUCACUCCUGACAAGGUGGGGCGGAGCCGGUAAGCUGCCAGGACCCUGCCACCCCCCACCCCAAUCUUCAAGGGAGGAGGAGGAGAUACUGUAGAUAUGAUAGCCACCCGAGGCUCAACGUCUACUGAGCAGUAGUAUGAUGCCAAGUCCUGCUCUUAGUAGUGAGAAUUCAGAAAAGAAUGAGAUGGUUCCUUGUAGGUUCUAAAUCAUUUAGUGAUUCAGGGUCAGUUGAGAGAUUGGGUGGAUGUUUCUUUCUGUCUCUGUCUCUAUCUCUCUCUCUGUCACACACACACACACACACACACACACACACACACACACACACACACUCAAUCAUCACAGUGAGGGUGAUUAGUAGCACUGACUCUAGAGGUUGGGAAGGGGAAGUGCCAAGAGUUUCAGGAAGAGCAGGAUCGAUGUGAGCUCUCUGCCUCCCAGGCUUUGCCCUGGGCUAGCAAACAGAAAAGAUCUACCUUGAACAUGGGCAGUUACCUGGUGACCUGUGGAAGGUCGACACUCUCUGUGCUUUCCCAAAAGAAAGCUUCGUUAACCAUCUGGCUUCUGUCAGUUGUGCUUUCCAGAUUGGCUCUGGGAGGAUCUGCACCCGCCCCCGUCCCCACCUGCUAUGCAGAAGUCCCAAGGUCAGAGUCUCAGGGUCAAAAGACCACUAUUGGUUCACCCAUGUCCACUCCCCCAUCUGAUACCAGCCUUGCCAUCAUCACUGCUUGGCUAAAUUGUUGACCUGGUUCUGGUCACCAGGGUGCAACGUCACCUACUGUGGUUGUCACUCACUGUAGCUGGUUCCAGAAAUGCUUGGCUUUGAGAAUUGGAAAGUCCUUUCCUGCUUCCUCGUGGUUUCCUCCCGUCCACGGAUUAUCUGGCCCUGUGAUCAACGCAACCUCAGGAUGUCCGAUACGCCCGGAAGUCUGCCUGUCGGAAAGAAGGAGAACGUGGAAAAAAGAAAGAGCUGUAGAUCCGACAGGGUAAAGACAGGUCUCCAGAAAAGCUCAAUUUCUCCUUUUUCAGAAGAAGAGGUGUUUCCCAGUGGAGCAAGCAUCAGUAGGGAAAGGUGAACUGCAGGGGAUUUUCAGAGCGUUUCCUAAUCCAGAUUCCUGAGACAUGGGGGCGGAGGCAACCGGAGGCAACUCUUUUUCAUCAAGUCAUGGGUCGAAGGCCAGCCUAAAGAAUUGUUGCCAUUAGGAGGGUGCCCACUUGGACUUCUCAGCAACGGCCGACGGAGUGACAGGUGCCCAGGCUACCGGAGCAGCUGCUCUGCCGGCCAAGGUGACCGGCAGGGCCGGCGUCCUUCAAGAGGGCGAAUAGCCCCCAUGAUUGUUGUUCUUUGUAUAGGACCGCGACGAGACCCGUAUCCUAUUGUCUUGGAUCUGGUUCAGCACACCACCGCUCUGCUGGCGUGCAGACGUGUAGUAAAAUCCUCUCCCGCACAUUUUUUCUGCUCGCUGACUUCAUCGAAAAGUGCUUUCCAAGCGUCUGAUCGCCCGUGGUGGAGGAUGGUUGUUUGGCAGAAAGGAUUAAGGUCUUUUCCUGUGUUUGGGUGCCGACUGUCUUUGAGAAUGCUGAUCAGAGAGGACUCCCUUCUGUUGGCCAGGCCCUAAUUGAUUUAUUGGUUGUCGCAUGAAGCAGGGAGCUAGGAACUCAGGAUGAUAUGACAAGUAUCAGGCCAAAGAAUUUUUCCAGGUCUCUCUUCUUUUUAUUCAAGGUAAAUUUGAGUAAGACACUACCCGCCCCCCCCCCCCCCCGGCCCCCGCCUUAUCUGCUGUUUCACUUCCUGUGGUUUCAAUUACCCACCGCCAACUGCGGAUUGGAAGAAGAUGAUCCUUUCUUUGACAUAUCGUCAGGUCAAUAGUAGCCCUAAUGCUGCGGUGCCUCCGUCACUCACGUCACUUCAUCUCGUCACACAGGCAUUUUCUCAUCUCACAUCCUCACAAGAAGGGUGAGUGCAGUACAAGAAGAUAUUUUGAGAGAGAGAGAGAGAGACCACAUUCACAUAACUUUUAUUAGUUUAUUAUAAUUAUUUUAUUUUAUUAAUUACUGUUGCUAAUUUCUUAUGGUGCCUAAUUUUGUUUAUGUUUAUUUUUGAGAGAGAAAGAGAGAGAGUGU